RNAcentral lists this ribosomal RNA (460 nucleotides) under uncultured bacterium. RNAcentral's name for it is "partial 16S ribosomal RNA". It matches the Rfam family "Bacterial small subunit ribosomal RNA", at positions 338 to 795 of the family's 1533-position model. The record is from RNAcentral.
CCUACGGGUGGCAGCAGUGAGGAAUAUUGGUCAAUGGGCGGAAGCCUGAACCAGCCAAGUCGCGUGAGGGAUUAAGGCCCUAUGGGUCGUAAACCUCUUUUGUCAGGGAGCAAGGUCGUCCACGUGUGGGCGUAUGGAGAGUACCUGAAGAAAAAGCAUCGGCUAACUCCGUGCCAGCAGCCGCGGUAAUACGGAGGAUGCGAGCGUUAUCCGGAUUUAUUGGGUUUAAAGGGUGCGUAGGCGGGACCUUAAGUCAGCGGUAAAAUUGCGGUGCUCAACGCCGUAGAGCCGUUGAAACUGUGUCCCUUGAGUGCGCGAAGGGUAGGCGGAAUGCGUGGUGUAGCGGUGAAAUGCAUAGAUAUCACGCAGAACUCCGAUCGCGAAGGCAGCCUACCGGCGCGCAACUGACGCUCAUGCACGAAAGCGUGGGUAUCGAACAGGAUUAGAUACCCCGGUAGUC